This 1543-nucleotide ribosomal RNA is filed under the name Shigella sonnei. RNAcentral describes it as "bacterial SSU rRNA". It matches the Rfam family "Bacterial small subunit ribosomal RNA". The record is from RNAcentral. Lineage: Bacteria; Pseudomonadati; Pseudomonadota; Gammaproteobacteria; Enterobacterales; Enterobacteriaceae.
AAAUUGAAGAGUUUGAUCAUGGCUCAGAUUGAACGCUGGCGGCAGGCCUAACACAUGCAAGUCGAACGGUAACAGGAAGCAGCUUGCUGCUUCGCUGACGAGUGGCGGACGGGUGAGUAAUGUCUGGGAAACUGCCUGAUGGAGGGGGAUAACUACUGGAAACGGUAGCUAAUACCGCAUAACGUCGCAAGACCAAAGAGGGGGACCUUCGGGCCUCUUGCCAUCGGAUGUGCCCAGAUGGGAUUAGCUUGUUGGUGGGGUAACGGCUCACCAAGGCGACGAUCCCUAGCUGGUCUGAGAGGAUGACCAGCCACACUGGAACUGAGACACGGUCCAGACUCCUACGGGAGGCAGCAGUGGGGAAUAUUGCACAAUGGGCGCAAGCCUGAUGCAGCCAUGCCGCGUGUAUGAAGAAGGCCUUCGGGUUGUAAAAGUACUUUCAGCGGGGAGGAAGGGAGUAAAGUUAAUACCUUUGCUCAUUGACGUUACCCGCAGAAGAAGCACCGGCUAACUCCGUGCCAGCAGCCGCGGUAAUACGGAGGGUGCAAGCGUUAAUCGGAAUUACUGGGCGUAAAGCGCACGCAGGCGGUUUGUUAAGUCAGAUGUGAAAUCCCCGGGCUCAACCUGGGAACUGCAUCUGAUACUGGCAAGCUUGAGUCUCGUAGAGGGGGGUAGAAUUCCAGGUGUAGCGGUGAAAUGCGUAGAGAUCUGGAGGAAUACCGGUGGCGAAGGCGGCCCCCUGGACGAAGACUGACGCUCAGGUGCGAAAGCGUGGGGAGCAAACAGGAUUAGAUACCCUGGUAGUCCACGCCGUAAACGAUGUCGACUUGGAGGUUGUGCCCUUGAGGCGUGGCUUCCGGAGCUAACGCGUUAAGUCGACCGCCUGGGGAGUACGGCCGCAAGGUUAAAACUCAAAUGAAUUGACGGGGGCCCGCACAAGCGGUGGAGCAUGUGGUUUAAUUCGAUGCAACGCGAAGAACCUUACCUGGUCUUGACAUCCACAGAACUUUCCAGAGAUGGAUUGGUGCCUUCGGGAACUGUGAGACAGGUGCUGCAUGGCUGUCGUCAGCUCGUGUUGUGAAAUGUUGGGUUAAGUCCCGCAACGAGCGCAACCCUUAUCCUUUGUUGCCAGCGGUCCGGCCGGGAACUCAAAGGAGACUGCCAGUGAUAAACUGGAGGAAGGUGGGGAUGACGUCAAGUCAUCAUGGCCCUUACGACCAGGGCUACACACGUGCUACAAUGGCGCAUACAAAGAGAAGCGACCUCGCGAGAGCAAGCGGACCUCAUAAAGUGCGUCGUAGUCCGGAUUGGAGUCUGCAACUCGACUCCAUGAAGUCGGAAUCGCUAGUAAUCGUGGAUCAGAAUGCCACGGUGAAUACGUUCCCGGGCCUUGUACACACCGCCCGUCACACCAUGGGAGUGGGUUGCAAAAGAAGUAGGUAGCUUAACCUUCGGGAGGGCGCUUACCACUUUGUGAUUCAUGACUGGGGUGAAGUCGUAACAAGGUAACCGUAGGGGAACCUGCGGUUGGAUCACCUCCUUA